This 461-nucleotide RNase P RNA is filed under the name bacterium. RNAcentral describes it as "RNase P RNA component class A". It matches the Rfam family "Bacterial RNase P class A". From Rfam's summary of the family: Ribonuclease P (RNase P) is a ubiquitous endoribonuclease, found in archaea, bacteria and eukarya as well as chloroplasts and mitochondria. Its best characterised activity is the generation of mature 5'-ends of tRNAs by cleaving the 5'-leader elements of precursor-tRNAs. Cellular RNase Ps are ribonucleoproteins. The record is from RNAcentral.
GCGGGUGUCUGGGUGAUCGCUCCGAUGGACAUCGGAGAGGAAAGUCCGAACACCCUUCACGACGCAAGUCGGGAUGCCAGUGGUAGUCGCUAACAGCGACGGGGAGCAACGAUAUUGGAGUGUGCGCUAGCGCCUUCAGUAUCGCCAAACCCACGGAGAGUCUUCCCAUGGCUACUGUCAUGGGAGGGGAUCCCCUCGCGAGUCGCGCAGGACGGGGCGCGUGGGGACCGCAACAGAAAACACACCGCCAGGAAUUCUGCCUCGAAACUUCCUGGUAAGGGCGAAAUCGUGAGGUAAGAGCUCACGCGGGACUGCCCCGAGAGGGGCGCCGUGGCAAACACCUACCCGGUGCAAGGGGAGUACCCCCGCACGAGCGACGCAGUAAUGCGUCGCCAAGAGAGAUGAUCACUGUAGCGCCGCAAGGCGUGAGACAGAAUUCGGCUUACAGGACACCCGCAGCA